UCAAGUAAUUAAGUGCAUGUGGUGGAUGCCUUGGCAGUCAGAGGCGAUGAAAGACGUGAUAGCCUGCGAAAAGCUCCGGGGAGGCGGCAAAUAUCCUUUGAUCCGGAGAUGUCUGAAUGGGGGAACCCACCUACUUUAAGGUAGGUAUUGCAACAUGAAUACAUAGUGUUGCAAGGCGAACGAGGGGAAGUGAAACAUCUCAGUACCCUUAGGAAAAGAAAUCAAUUGAGAUUCCCUCAGUAGCGGCGAGCGAACGGGGAUCAGCCCAUUAAGUUAUGUGUGUUUUAGUGGAACGCUCUGGGAAGUGCGAACGUAGAGGGUGAUAUUCCCGUACACGAAAGGGCACACAUAAUGAUGACGAGUAGGGCGAGGCACGUGAAACCUUGUCUGAAUAUGGGGGGACCAUCCUCCAAGGCUAAAUACUCCUGACUGACCGAUAGUGAACCAGUACCGUGAGGGAAAGGCGAAAAGAACCCCUGUGAGGGGAGUGAAAUAGAUCCUGAAACCGCAUGCAUACAAGCAGUGGGAGCACCUUCGUGGUGUGACUGCGUACCUUUUGUAUAAUGGGUCAGCGACUUAUAUUCAGUAGCGAGGUUAACCGUAUAGGGGAGCCGUAGAGAAAUCGAGUCUUAAUAGGGCGUUUAGUUGCUGGGUAUAGACCCGAAACCAGGCGAUCUAUCCAUGAGCAGGUUGAAGGUUGGGUAACACUAACUGGAGGACCGAACCCACUGUCGUUGAAAAGCCAGGGGAUGACUUGUGGAUAGGGGUGAAAGGCUAAUCAAGCCUGGUGAUAGCUGGUUCUCCCCGAAAGCUAUUUAGGUAGCGCCUCGGACGAAUACCAUAGGGGGUAGAGCACUGUUUCGGCUAGGGGGUCAUCCCGACUUACCAAACCGAUGCAAACUCCGAAUACCUAUGAGUACUAUCCGGGAGACAGACUGCGGGUGCUAACGUCCGUAGUCAAGAGGAAAACAAUCCAGACCGCCAGCUAAGGCCCCAAAAUCAUAGUUAAGUGGGAAACGAUGUGGGAAGGCAUAGACAGCUAGGAGGUUGGCUUAGAAGCAGCCACCCUUUAAAGAAAGCGUAAUAGCUCACUAGUCGAGUCGGCCUGCGCGGAAGAUGUAACGGGGCUAAAACUAUGUGCCGAAGCUGCGGAUGUAUACUUUGUAUACGUGGUAGGGGAGCGUUCUGUAAGCCGAUGAAGGUGUGUUGAGAAGCAUGCUGGAGGUAUCAGAAGUGCGAAUGCUGACGUGAGUAACGACAAAACGGGUGAAAAACCCGUUCGCCGAAAGACCAAGGGUUCCAGUCCAACGUUAAUCGGGGCUGGGUGAGUCGACCCCUAAGGCGAGGCCGAAAGGCGUAGUCGAUGGGAAAAUGGUUAAUAUUCCAUUACUUCUGUGUAAUGCGAUGAGAGGACGGAGAAGGCUAAAUCAGCCUGGCGUUGGUUGUCCAGGUGAAAGGAUGUAGGCAUGUAUCUUAGGCAAAUCCGGGGUACUCUAUGCUGAGAUCUGAUAGCAAGCUGUACUUGUACAGCGAAGUGGUUGAUGCCAUGCUUCCAGGAAAAGUCUCUAAGCUUCAGUUACACAGGAAUCGUACCCGAAACCGACACAGGUGGUCAGGUCGAGUAGACCAAGGCGCUUGAGAGAACUCUGCUGAAGGAACUAGGCAAAAUGGUACCGUAACUUCGGGAGAAGGUACGCUGUUGUUGGUGAUGGAACUCGCUUCCUGAGCUGACGACAGCCGCAGAAACCAGGCCGCUGCAACUGUUUAUUAAAAACAUAGCACUCUGCAAACACGAAAGUGGACGUAUAGGGUGUGAUGCCUGCCCGGUGCUGGAAGGUUAAUUGAUGGGGUUAGCGUAAGCGAAGCUCUUGAUCGAAGCCCCAGUAAACGGCGGCCGUAACUAUAACGGUCCUAAGGUAGCGAAAUUCCUUGUCGGGUAAGUUCCGACCUGCACGAAUGGCAUAAUGAUGGCGGCGCUGUCUCCAGCAGAGGCUCAGUGAAAUCGAAAUCGCUGUGAAGAUGCAGUGUACCCGCGGCUAGACGGAAAGACCCCGUGAACCUUUACUGCAGCUUGACACUGAACUUUGACCUUACUUGUGUAGGAUAGGUGGGAGGCUUUGAAGCUGGAACGCUAGUUCCAGUGGAGCCGUCCUUGAAAUACCACCCUGGUAAUGUUGAGGUUCUAACUCUGUCC
This 2194-nucleotide ribosomal RNA is filed under the name Acinetobacter baumannii 44895_6. RNAcentral's name for it is "bacterial LSU rRNA". It matches the Rfam family "Bacterial large subunit ribosomal RNA", at positions 3 to 2233 of the family's 2925-position model. Lineage: Bacteria; Pseudomonadati; Pseudomonadota; Gammaproteobacteria; Moraxellales; Moraxellaceae. The record is from RNAcentral.